AUGGGCGCAAGCCUGAUGCAGCAAUGCCGCGUGAGUGAUGAAGGCCUUCGGGUUGUAAAGCUCUUUUGUCCGGAAAGAAAUCCUCUGGACUAAUACGACAGGCGGAUGACAGUACCGGGCCAAUAACCCCCGGCUAACUACAUGCCAGCAGCCGCGGUAAUA
RNAcentral lists this ribosomal RNA (162 nucleotides) under uncultured bacterium. RNAcentral's name for it is "partial 16S ribosomal RNA". It matches the Rfam family "Bacterial small subunit ribosomal RNA", at positions 371 to 525 of the family's 1533-position model. The record is from RNAcentral.